GGUAAAAUGGCUGAUUUAAGGUGAUAAAUUGUAAAUUUAUUUAUGAAGUUUUCUUUUACUG
RNAcentral lists this transfer RNA (61 nucleotides) under Ornithodoros coriaceus. Its description in RNAcentral is "tRNA-Tyr". Lineage: Eukaryota; Metazoa; Arthropoda; Arachnida; Ixodida; Argasidae. The record is from RNAcentral.